This 253-nucleotide ribosomal RNA is filed under the name uncultured bacterium. RNAcentral's name for it is "partial 16S ribosomal RNA". It matches the Rfam family "Bacterial small subunit ribosomal RNA", at positions 524 to 776 of the family's 1533-position model. The record is from RNAcentral.
UACAGAGGUCCCGAGCGUUGUUCGGAUUCACUGGGCGUAAAGGGUGCGUAGGUGGUUCUGCAAGUCUGAUGUGAAAUCUCCGGGCUUAACCCGGAAAUGGCAUUGGAAACUGUGGGGCUAGAGUGUUGGAGGGGGGACUGGAAUUCUCGGUGUAGCAGUGAAAUGCGUAGAUAUCGAGAGGAACACCAGUGGCGAAGGCGAGUCCCUGGACAACUACUGACACUGAGGCACGAAAGCUAGGGGAGCAAACAGG